This 465-nucleotide ribosomal RNA is filed under the name uncultured bacterium. RNAcentral describes it as "partial 16S ribosomal RNA". It matches the Rfam family "Bacterial small subunit ribosomal RNA", at positions 28 to 507 of the family's 1533-position model. The record is from RNAcentral.
GACGAACGCUGGCGGCGUGCUUAACACAUGCAAGUCGAACGGAAAGGCCCCUUUGGGGGUACUCGAGUGGCGAACGGGUGAGUAACACGUGAGUAACCUGCCCUUUACUUCUGGAUAACUUCAGGAAACUGGGGCUAAUACCGGAUAGGAAUCCUUGCUGCAUGGUGGGGGUUGGAAAGCUUCGGCGGGUUUGGAUGGACUCGCGGCUUAUCCGCUUGUUGGUGGGGUAGUGGCUUACCAAGGCUUUGACGGGUAGCCGGCCUGAGAGGGCGACCGGCCACAUUGGGACUGAGGUACGGCCCAGACUCCUACGGGAGGCAGCAGUGGGGAAUAUUGCACAAUGGGCGGAAGCCUGAUGCAGCAACGCCGCGUGCGGGAUGACGGCCUUCGGGUUGUAAACCGCUUUCAGCAGGGGCGAAGCUUGUGGUGACGGUACCGGCAGAAGAAGCACCGGCUAACUACGUG